UUACAGACCAGUUUGAGGCACCAGCUGCGCGGCCGGGUGGUUUGCUUGAGGCAGAAGAAGACGGUGGGCGCCAGUGCCGGCCUUCUCGGUCUAAUCUACACAUCGUUAUAAGAAAAAGUAGGCCAAAUUCCUCCCUCAUUUACUCUGGAUAUACUCCCCGUGACAUCCUGGACUACACCGAGGUUACUCUGGAGUUGCAUCAGAGGCACUGCCUGCAGAAUCUGGCCUGCCAGUGGAGGUUAGCGAUCGAUACUGAAUCUAGGCUACACAAGUAUAAAAUGAAUGGGCACUUGGCUUGCAAUAUCAUAGCUGAACUAAUGAGAUGUGUAAUGCUCUUAGCCGGCCUUAAUAAAUCGGCACACGUCAGCAUCACUCGGGUGAAUUUCAGGCUGCGUGCAACGCGCUGGGAGGCUGGAAGACAUGUACACUACCACCAGCAGGAAGGCAUCCAUGCGAAAGUAGUAUUAUAGGAAGAGAAAAUGUCAGCCGAUUCUGUCCUUGCUGGUGUCUGAGAUGCAUGAAUGUCAAGAAGAUAGUGACACCCGGCUCCACCAUGUGGAAAAUAAGCCAUCUCCAGAAAACAAAGCAGUCAGCACUUGAUACAGUUAUCAGCCAAAAAAAGACUUGGGGCUAGCAGUUUUGACCAUGGAGCUCUGUUAAGGUCAGUGGUAGUAUGCAGAUUUGUCACUGCUGAUUUUCCAGCCUUCUCUUCCUAUAUUAGCACCCUGCAUGUGGGUUAAGGACAUUUAACUUCACCUCUUGCAAUACGCUUUAAUGACUUGGAUUGAAAUAGCUUGCCCAGUGCUAUAUUUUUUUCUUUUUAAAGACACAGGGGAACCGUACAACAGGACUGUCGGUUGGCUCUAGUGUUUCAUUCUCCUACUCUGAAUGUAUACAGUGCCUUGCAUCCCACGGUAUUGCACCUCCCAUUGACCCUGCAGAUUUUUUAAGGAAUAAGAAGUUACUCCCAUUUUGCAGAUUGCUAAACUAAGUGACAGAAGGCUGGUGGCUGCUUGGAACAGUGUUAGUUUAAAAUAGGACUGAUUCAAAAGGAGUUACGCUGCUGUAACUCAGCCAGGCACGGAGGGAUGAAAAUGGACUUCUUCAAAGUUAUGUGCUGGCGUGGAUGGUGCCUGUGCGUGACUUCUUUUACUGUGGAGAAGCUGCUGCACAUCGGUUUCCACGUGGCCUUUGACGGGACAGGACCUUGAUCCAACGGCAAGGAGAUCUCGUUCUGCUGCAGCCUUCAUCUGCCUUCGCAGCCGUUGAGAUUUUAACUUCUUCCUCCUCCUGCUCUGCCACUGCAGACCCAUAUGUGGGUGACUGGCGCCUCUUGAGUCUGGGGGGACACCAGAGCGCCGGCCAGGGGGGUGGUCUUCCAGCAGCCGAUUGCCGACCGGGGCGGGUGUCCCACAGUGGCCAAUCGCCGAGCCAGCGGCGAAACUAGAAGUGCACUUCUGGUUUCAUGGUGGCACUUCCAGGGGGUGCACAGCCCAUCUCAAGGGGUGCACAUGCACCCAAAGGCACUCACCAAUGGACCCGUAGCCAGGCAGGCUUAUUAUAGUGGCGACCUGUACUUGCCACAUCACAGCGCCGUCAAAGGAUAUGCGUGGCUGUUCAGGAGGGAAACCAUUGCCAUCUGCUGUCCUCACCACAUCCUUCUUCAAAGUGAUGCACAAGUUGGGAAGGGAGCCAGGCACCUUGACCCUCAGUCUCUUGCUCCCAGUACACCCCCAUCUGUCUUCUACUUUCUAGAGCAAUUAAAAAAAAAAAGGCUUUUCUUAUAUCUAUCGAAUGCGCUGGGUUUGCAGUCUAAUGCAGAUUGUUCUGUUAGGUGAAUCCCAGAUAAUAAGCCAUGCAGCGUUUGAGUUUCAUGUCUUAUUUUUGCAAUGUACAUGAUUAACCGAUUCUUCUAGCAAGGGGCAGCUGGAAGAAAAAAAGUCCAACAUAAAAAAAAAAUCCUUAGACCAGCAUGGCUACAACCAACACCCCAUUAAACAAAAUCUGCAUGUGAAGGGGGUUGAUACUACAAUGUUCCUGAGGCUAAGAUGAGAUCAUUAGGUCAUUCCCAGAGUUGGAAAGCUUCUGUAUAUUUGUAUGCCUUUGAAGCUGGCUUUAUAUAUAUGUAUAUACAAAGUCUGAUAGAAGGUGCUGAAUACUUUAUGGAUUUUUUUUUUUACUGGAUCUAAUUCUAGCUGACUCAAAUCUGGGGUUUUUUGAUUGCAAAAAAACCUUCAAACAAGGAACAAUCUAGCUAAUAGCGCUCGCAUAAAUCAUUCUCAAAAUAAUGAGUAUCUGUGGAGUGAAUUCAUUUAGCUAAAUAGAUGGAGGACCACUUUAAAGUUAUUUAGAAAGAUUAACAAAAGAGAAGGGAAAUGAAAAACAGAUAAUAAAUUGACGAGAGAAGGGAAAAUUAUAUUAGAAACAAUGAAUUUGUAAUAAAUUCAAAACGUUAAGAAGAGUUUUUCAAAAAAAAAAAAAAGGGAAAAAAAAAGGAGAUUGGCAACAUGAUAACUUGGCAGCCCUGCUGCUAAAGUGUAUUUUUAAUUAAGUGACACAGGAUGCUGGGAUGCAUUUUAAAAUAGACACAUAGGUCCCUUGCAGAAAUAACGCCUUUACUUUUAUGACAUUCAUGUCUCAAAUUCUCCGAUAGUCUUGUCAUUUCCUCCGUACAAGAAAACAGUUAUCUGCUCGGGGAGAUUUCUUCAUUAAGCGCAUGGGCUCUGCCUUCAUAAACAACUCGGUGAUCACUUCCGCGAGCUAAAUUACACGCCACUCGGGGAAUAAGAGGAACAUUGCUUCUCCUAUCAUAAUCCAUGCAAACCUCCUCCAGAUCGGAGGGGCGGGAUUAGGAUCUUUUCUAUAGUGCUCUGACCGGGUUUGGCAAAUGGUGGAGAGCUAAGAGUAUAGCCCCUCCUAAAGCAAACUGACUUUCUCCCUCUUUGAGGCACUAGCGCAGAAGAGUGAGCAGUAAAUUGAAACUCGUGUAACAGUGGUUUGCAAGGAGCCCGUCUCACUGCAGCUCCCCGCUCGCCUGGGCCCAAUCAUUAGCGGGCGAAUCUGCUUCUGAAGGACUCCGAGGCCCUGACCUCUAGCCUCUUUGAAGGAUUUCAUCCUAGUUCAGCUUCAAAUGUUUGAUUGGGAGGGCAUCAUUCAGUUCCUGGCCCAAUUAACUUAGCGGCUCGCUCAAAGGUCCCCUUUGAGCACGGCUCCUUCAGCAUAGGCCCAGCAUUUGGGAUACAGAGGAUGUCACGCUAAUGUUGUCACCGGCUUGCCCGUCCUCUUUACACGGGCAGAUUAGGGGAUAUAGCCCAGAGGAGUGUGCCCCAUCCAGGACUCCCGGUGACUUCAGCAUGAGUUAUGUCAGGCCUGGGCGCCUGCAAGCCUGGAGGCAGAAGCAAAUGAACCGGCUUUUUCCUCUGGAGUCUCUUGCCCCUUUCCUCCCAACUUUCCAUCCCUUCUCUCUCUCUCUGUUCCCUUCCUCCAUUUUCCCCUCCACAAUCUUUUCUUGCCCUUUCCCCUCUUAUUUCAGUAUAAUUUUCUGUCCCUAUGCCCCUCCUUCCCGCUGCUCCUUCAGCUUUCUAUUUAAAGUCUCGCAGCCACAAGGUGCCUGCUGCUCCUCUAAACGUCCUGCUGAGAAGCUCUGCAAAUGUAUUGGGUUGUCCCGAUGCUCUGUUGGUAUCUCGUAGUCAUAAUAACAGCUCUCUAUCUGCAGUCCAUUGGUAGCAGUAGACACCCGCUGCCUUUCCUGGCUUAGAGCAUUUUCAUGAGUAAUUUUUUCCACCCCACUAUGUUUCAGACUAGUUUCAAUGCCCUUAUGGAGCAACCUUUAGAUUUUCAGACACUUGAUACUGCAGGGACUGGUGGUGAAGCUGGCUUUGAGACCCUAUGUGUGGACACGGGGCCUGCACAAAAAAUGCCGGCACCUUAAUUCCUAGCUAGUCUGUACAUGAUUGAACAUAUGCGAUGCAGUAGUGUAACAGUGAUAUUAUAGCCCAGAAAAUAGGUGAGACGCAAGGAUGCUGUAGGCUGAUGUCCUUUAUUGGACUCGCUGUAUAGUUGGGAUAAAGUUAGGUAAGCUUUCGAAUGCAGUGUGGUGCCUUCAAAAGCUUGUCUAACUUUAUCUCAGCUACAUAGUUUGUCCCAUAAAAGAUAUCACCCUAAGAAAUCCUUUCCUCUCAACAAGACCUCAGGCAUAAGAAAUUCGGAGAGGAGUUUAUAUCACUAUUUAAGCUUCCUAGCCUAUGGAUGGAUUUCAUUUUUCAGUGAGCGUUUCUACGUGUGCAUUUAUGCUGACUUAAAUUUCCCAUACAGUAAGUUACUAUGCAGUAAGUGGGAAUAGGCCGGCAUCUACACCUGCAGGCGUUAAACCACAUUAACACUGCAUGUGGUCUGAGUUGGGACUAAAGUAAGUCCCAAGUUAGUCCACACACACAGUGUUACUGCACAGCAAGGCAUCUACAUGUGCCUUACUGCGCAGUAACUAAUCAGGCGUAAAUCUGAGAUCUGCAUGAUGCAGAUAUCAAAUUUAUGCUCCAGUCGGCAUAAGUUGCCAUAUUUACUAUGCAGGAUGGACAUGCAUGUGUAGACGUGUGCCCAUAUUGUGCAGUAAUUUUGCUUAAUGUGCAAUAAUGCUUGGAUGCUUAACUUGCUGGUGUGAUCUGACCCCAGCUGGGGGUGCCGGGGUGAUCUGACCCUUUGGGCAGGGGGCUGGACCCGAUGAUCUUGCAAGGCCCCUUCCAGCCGUAAUGUCUAUAUCUAUAAAUGUGUAUGUGUAGAUGCACCCAGUCACUGGCAUUUUACAGCCACAUUCAGAGGCCUUUCUUCAAGACCACAAUCCACCCGUAACAGAAAGGAUGUGUUUGCCUUCUUCUCAUUUGAAAGUGUAACAUUUGAAAUGUGUCAGUUUGAGCACGUGUAUUUCAAGCCCACAAGUUCGGGACGGGCCUCGCUUUCCUCCUCCUCCUUGCUUUUAUGAUUUAUUUACUUCUCAUAUCAUGUUUAGACUUGCUAAAUAUAAAAACUGUCCAAAAUAAAUGGUAAAAAUAUUCAAGCCUUUGGGGGAAAAUAUAUUUCUCAGCUCCGCGUUCUCAUGCUUUAUGGUUUUAGCACAUACUGUAAAUAAAUAUUUCUGCAAUAAAUAUUUGUUAAAAAUAAUUUCCGUAUGCAUUUAGCAUUCCCCAAUAAAUACUACGUAAAGAGUG
This is a long non-coding RNA of Alligator mississippiensis (American alligator), 5204 nucleotides long. RefSeq lists it as uncharacterized. NCBI's taxonomy places the organism in Eukaryota, Metazoa, Chordata, Crocodylia, Alligatoridae. The record is from RefSeq and is a predicted model, not a curated record. The transcript is spliced from 2 exons.